This 251-nucleotide ribosomal RNA is filed under the name uncultured prokaryote. Its description in RNAcentral is "partial 16S ribosomal RNA". It matches the Rfam family "Bacterial small subunit ribosomal RNA", at positions 525 to 775 of the family's 1533-position model. The record is from RNAcentral.
ACGUAGGGUGCGAGCGUUAAUCGGAAUUACUGGGCGUAAAGCGUGCGCAGGCGGCUUUGCAAGACAGAGGUGAAAUCCCCGGGCUCAACCUGGGAGCUGCCUUUGUGACUGCAAGGCUAGAGUACGGCAGAGGGGGAUGGAAUUCCGCGUGUAGCAGUGAAAUGCGUAGAUAUGCGGAGGAACACCAAUGGCGAAGGCAAUCCCCUGGGCCUGUACUGACGCUCAUGCACGAAAGCGUGGGGAGCAAACAG